RNAcentral lists this transfer RNA (78 nucleotides) under Escherichia coli. Its description in RNAcentral is "tRNA-Met". It matches the Rfam family "tRNA". From Rfam's summary of the family: Transfer RNA (tRNA) molecules are approximately 80 nucleotides in length. Their secondary structure includes four short double-helical elements and three loops (D, anti-codon, and T loops). RNAcentral also lists the same sequence under 1 other name. Lineage: Bacteria; Pseudomonadati; Pseudomonadota; Gammaproteobacteria; Enterobacterales; Enterobacteriaceae. The record is from RNAcentral.
CGCGGGGUGGAGCAGCACUGGUAGCUCGUCGGGCUCAUAACCCGAAGGUCGUCGGUUCAAAUCCGGCCCCCGCAACCA